GAAAUGCGAUAAGUAGUGUGAAUUGCAGAAUUCAGUGAAUCAUCGAAUCUUUGAACGCACAUUGCGCCCCUUGGUAUUCCAUGGGGCAUGCCUGUUCGAGCGUCAUUUGUACCCUCAAGCUCUGCUUGGUGUUGGGUGUUUGUCCCGUCUCCGCGCGUGGACUCGCCCCAAAGUGAUUGGCAGCCGGCGUACUGGUCCCGGAUCGCAGCACAUGUCGCGCAAACGAGUGCCUUGGUACGGCGGCGUCCAUAAGCCCCUCUCUCACGCUCUUGACCUCGGAUCAGGUAGGGAUACCCGCUGAACUUAAGC
Molecule: unclassified non-coding RNA, 309 nt
Filed under: plant metagenome
Description: partial contains 5.8S ribosomal RNA, internal transcribed spacer 2, and large subunit ribosomal RNA
Rfam family: 5.8S ribosomal RNA (bases 1-105)
Source: RNAcentral